This is a transfer RNA of Prunus persica (peach), 85 nucleotides long. It matches the Rfam family "tRNA". From Rfam's summary of the family: Transfer RNA (tRNA) molecules are approximately 80 nucleotides in length. Their secondary structure includes four short double-helical elements and three loops (D, anti-codon, and T loops). The record is from Rfam. Lineage: Eukaryota; Viridiplantae; Streptophyta; Magnoliopsida; Rosales; Rosaceae.
GGGUCCAUAGCUUAGUGUUAGAGCAAUUGAGCUGCAUGUUUUAUUGUAGAUCAUGAGGUCACCGGUUCAAACUCGAUUGGGCCCU